AUUGAACGCUGGCGGAAUGCUUUACACAUGCAAGUCGAACGGCAGCACGGGGCAACCUGGUGGCGAGUGGCGAACGGGUGAGUAAUAUAUCGGAACGUGCCCAAUCGUGGGGGGAUAACGUAGCGAAAGUUACGCUAAUACCGCAUACGAUCUACGGAUGAAAGCGGGGGAUCGCAAGACCUCGCGCGAAUGGAGCGGCCGAUAUCAGAUUAGGUAGUUGGUGGGGUAAAGGCUCACCAAGCCAACGAUUUGUAGCUGGUCUGAGAGGACGACCAGCCACACUGGAACUGAGACACGGUCCAGACUCCUACGGGAGGCAGCAGUGGGAAUUUUGGACAAUGGGCGCAAGCCUGAUCCAGCCAUUCCGCGUGCAGGAUGAAGGCC
RNAcentral lists this ribosomal RNA (384 nucleotides) under uncultured bacterium. RNAcentral describes it as "bacterial SSU rRNA". It matches the Rfam family "Bacterial small subunit ribosomal RNA", at positions 30 to 416 of the family's 1533-position model. The record is from RNAcentral.